RNAcentral lists this ribosomal RNA (534 nucleotides) under uncultured bacterium. Its description in RNAcentral is "bacterial SSU rRNA". It matches the Rfam family "Bacterial small subunit ribosomal RNA", at positions 777 to 1304 of the family's 1533-position model. The record is from RNAcentral.
AAUAGAUACCCAGGUAGUCCACGCCGUAAACCGAUGAGUGCUAAGUGUUAGAGGGUUUCCGCCCGUUUAGUGCUGCAGCAAACGCAUUAAGCACUCCGCCUGGGGAGUACGGCCGCAAGGCUGAAACUCAAAGGAAUUGACGGGGGCCCGCACAAGCGGUGGAGCAUGUGGUUUAAUUCGAAGCAACGCGAAGAACCUUACCAGGUCUUGACAUCUCCUGACAACCCUAGAGAUAGGGCGUUCCCCUUCGGGGGACAGGAUGACAGGUGGUGCAUGGUUGUCGUCAGCUCGUGUCGUGAGAUGUUGGGUUAAGUCCCGCAACGAGCGCAACCCUUGAUCUUAGUUGCCAGCAUUCAGUUGGGCACUCUAAGGUGACUGCCGGUGACAAACCGGAGGAAGGUGGGGAUGACGUCAAAUCAUCAUGCCCCUUAUGACCUGGGGCUACACACGUGCUACAAUGGAUGGUACAAAGGGCUGCAAGACCGCGAGGUUAAAGCGAAUCCCAUAAAAACCAUUCUCAGUUCGGAUUGCAGG